AUUGAACGCUGGCGGCAGGCCUAACACAUGCAAGUCGAGCGAGCGGCGGACGGGUGAGUAAUGUCUGGGAAACUGCCUGAUGGGGGUGGAUAACUACUGGAAACGGUAGCUAAUACCGCGUACCAUCAGGUGUGCCCAGAUGGGAUUAGCUAGUAGGUGGGGUAACGGCGCACCUAGGCGACGAUCCCUAGCUGGUCGGAGAGGAUGAACAGUCACACUGGAACUGAGACACGGUCCAGACUCCUACGGGAGGCAGCAGUGGGGAAUAUUGCACAAUGGGCGCAAGCCUGAUGCAGCCAUGCCGCGUGUGUGAAGAAGGCCUUCGGGUUGUAAAGCACUUUCAGCGGGGAGGCGUUACCCGCAGAAGAAGCACCGGCUAACUCCGUGCCAGCAGCCGCGGUAAUUC
This 406-nucleotide ribosomal RNA is filed under the name uncultured bacterium. RNAcentral's name for it is "partial 16S ribosomal RNA". It matches the Rfam family "Bacterial small subunit ribosomal RNA", at positions 30 to 526 of the family's 1533-position model. The record is from RNAcentral.